Molecule: small RNA, 28 nt
Filed under: Bombyx mori (domestic silkworm)
Lineage: Eukaryota; Metazoa; Arthropoda; Insecta; Lepidoptera; Bombycidae
Description: ovarian small RNA-26261
Source: RNAcentral
UCAUGGUGAAUGACAAUGAUCAUGCAGC